RNAcentral lists this ribosomal RNA (225 nucleotides) under uncultured bacterium. RNAcentral's name for it is "partial 16S ribosomal RNA". It matches the Rfam family "Bacterial small subunit ribosomal RNA", at positions 524 to 746 of the family's 1533-position model. The record is from RNAcentral.
UACGUAGGGUGCAAGCGUUGUCCGGAAUUAUUGGGCGUAAAGGGCUCGUAGGCGGUCCGUCACGUCGGGAGUGAAAACUUGGGGCUUAACCCCAAGCCUGCUUCCGAUACGGGCGGACUAGAGGUAGGCAGGGGAGAACGGAAUUCCUGGUGUAGCGGUGAAAUGCGCAGAUAUCAGGAGGAACACCGGUGGCGAAGGCGGGUCUCUGGGCCGUUAACCUGACGC